This is a non-coding RNA of Monodelphis domestica (gray short-tailed opossum), 483 nucleotides long. NCBI's taxonomy places the organism in Eukaryota, Metazoa, Chordata, Mammalia, Didelphimorphia, Didelphidae. The record is from RefSeq and is a predicted model, not a curated record.
GAACGCACGUGCCCCGGGUUCCCGGGCAGGCGGCCUUGAAAACCAGGCCUCCAGAGGGGGCGGGGUGGGGAACUGGAGUGGUUCGGGGGCGCCUGCCUUAUUCUCGCCCGUCUGGUUUGUUGGCUCGGGGCACAUCCAAACCUCGUCUACUUCCAUCCUCCGCCAACGAACAACUAGAGGGAAUCUUUGAGUGUUGAAUACGUCGUCCUUCGGGUGCCUCGCAACACUCAUCUUUCCCUUAUAAUGACGACUACAACAAGGAGAAAAACCAGUCUGGCAAAACUAAAACUGAAAAAAAUGACGUCUAUGAGCAGCCUUCUAAGGUGUUUAUUUUAGAGAACAAUCUUUAUUUGAGUAUACAAAAUCUAAAAUUAUCACAUCUAAUUAUCUAAAUAAUCCCACAACUUUGUGAUUUAAAAUAUAUUUAGGAUGUCUUUAGAUCUAAAAGGAAAAACAUUGAAUAAAUUCUCUCUCUCUCUCUCA